Molecule: transfer RNA, 81 nt
Filed under: Patescibacteria group bacterium
Lineage: Bacteria
Description: tRNA-Leu
Rfam family: tRNA
About the family: Transfer RNA (tRNA) molecules are approximately 80 nucleotides in length. Their secondary structure includes four short double-helical elements and three loops (D, anti-codon, and T loops). Further hydrogen bonds mediate the characteristic L-shaped molecular structure. tRNAs have two regions of fundamental functional importance: the anti-codon, which is responsible for specific mRNA codon recognition, and the 3' end, to which the tRNAs corresponding amino acid is attached (by aminoacyl-tRNA synthetases). tRNAs cope with the degeneracy of the genetic code in two manners: having more than one tRNA (with a specific anti-codon) for a particular amino acid; and 'wobble' base-pairing, i.e. permitting non-standard base-pairing at the 3rd anti-codon position.
Source: RNAcentral
GCCGAGAUGGCGAAAUGGUAGACGCGCACGCUUGAGGUGCGUGUGGGGCAACCCAUGGAGGUUCAAGUCCUCUUCUCGGCA